RNAcentral lists this ribosomal RNA (836 nucleotides) under uncultured bacterium. RNAcentral describes it as "bacterial SSU rRNA". It matches the Rfam family "Bacterial small subunit ribosomal RNA", at positions 337 to 1174 of the family's 1533-position model. The record is from RNAcentral.
UCCUACGGGAGGCAGCAGUGGGGAAUAUUGGACAAUGGGGGCAACCCUGAUCCAGCCAUGCCGCGUGUGUGAAGAAGGCCCUCGGGUUGUCAAGCACUUUCAGCGAGGAAGAACGCCUAGCGGUUAAUACCCGCUAGGAAAGACAUCACUCGCAGAAGAAGCACCGGCUAACUCCGUGCCAGCAGCCGCGGUAAUACGGAGGGUGCAAGCGUUAAUCGGAAUUACUGGGCGUAAAGCGCGCGUAGGUGGCUUGAUAAGCCGGUUGUGAAAGCCCCGGGCUCAACCUGGGAACGGCAUCCGGAACUGUCAAGCUAGAGUGCAGGAGAGGAAGGUAGAAUUCCCGGUGUAGCAGUGAAAUGCGUAGAGAUCGGGAGGAAUACCAGUGGCGAAGGCGGCCUUCUGGACUGACACUGACACUGAGGUGCGAAAGCGUGGGUAGCAAACAGGAUUAGAUACCCUGGUAGUCCACGCCGUAAACGAUGUCAACUAGUUGUUCGUGUCACUAAGACGUGAGUAACGCAGCUAACGCACUAAGUUGACCGCCUGGGGAGUACGGCCGCAAGGUUAAAACUCAAAUGAAUUGACGGGGGCCCGCACAAGCGGUGGAGCAUGUGGUUUAAUUCGAUGCAACGCGAAGAACCUUACCAUCCCUUGACAUCCAGUGAACUUUCUAGAGAUAGAUUGGGUGCCUUCGGGAACACUGAACAGGUGCUGCAUGGCUGUCGUCAGCUCGUGUGUGAGAUGGUUGGGUUAAGUCCCGCACAACCCACCCUUAUCCUCAUUGCCACACCGAAUGGGUGGGAACACUUGGGGAUCUCUCGGUAUAACUCAAAAGG